CAAUAGCGUAUAUUAAAGUUGUUGCGGUUAAAAAGCUCGUAGUUGGAUUUCUGGUGGACUGAAUCUUCCUUUCUCUAUGAGAUUGCGAGUGAUUCUAGUCUCACCAUCUUUGUAGAGAGCUAUUUUGGCAUUUAUUUGUCGAUUUAGGGAUCUACAUCUUUUACUGUGAAAAAAUUAGAGUGUUUAAAGCAAGCAUUUCGCUUCUGAAUACAUUAGCAUGGAAUAAUAAGAUAGGAUCUCAGUCUAUUUUGUUGGUUUGUUACCGAGAUAAUGAUUAACAGGAACAAUUGGGGGUAUUCGUAUUUAAUUGUCAGAGGUGAAAUUCUUGGAUUUAUGAAAGACGAACUACUGCGAAAGCAUUUACCAAGGAUGUUUUCAUUAAUCAAGAACGAAAGUUUGGGGAUCGAAGACGAUCAGAUACCAU
This 424-nucleotide ribosomal RNA is filed under the name uncultured eukaryote. RNAcentral's name for it is "bacterial SSU rRNA". It matches the Rfam family "Eukaryotic small subunit ribosomal RNA", at positions 592 to 1018 of the family's 1831-position model. The record is from RNAcentral.